Paenibacillus mucilaginosus 3016 is the source of this 123-nucleotide ribosomal RNA. The record is from Rfam. Lineage: Bacteria; Bacillati; Bacillota; Bacilli; Caryophanales; Paenibacillaceae.
UUUGGUGAUGAUGGCGGAAGGGAACCACGCAGACCAGGUACCCACUCCGAACACGACGUUAAGCCUUCCAGCGUCGAUGGUACUUGGACCGCAGGGUCCUGGGAGAGUAGAACGUCGCCAAGC